UGUGGUAAUUAUUGUCUAACUAUAGACUAACUAAGCUCAAAAGAUUCGUCUUGUCAAUUUCGACCAAAUUGUGCAAUUAGUUUUUAUUUUCGUCUAUAUUUAAUACUCUAUGUAUGCGUCUAAAUAUUCGAUGUGAUAAGAAAUUUUGAAAAAUUUUUGAGUGGAAGUAAACAAGGCGUGAAUGCGGGAGCGAGUGGCCGAGGUAACGAGCCAUUAGGUGAUUUGGCCGGACAAGAAAAAAAAAUAUGACAGAAAUUUGGGCUCUUAGCCUCUUAGGUAUAUAGAUAGAUAGAUGCACGUAUCCGUGUAGUAGCAACUUGUUCCAGCAAUC
RNAcentral lists this long non-coding RNA (331 nucleotides) under Sorghum bicolor (sorghum). Its description in RNAcentral is "long non-coding RNA (SBIC_LNC016332)". The record is from RNAcentral. Lineage: Eukaryota; Viridiplantae; Streptophyta; Magnoliopsida; Poales; Poaceae.